This is a long non-coding RNA of Scylla paramamosain (green mud crab), 7615 nucleotides long. RefSeq lists it as uncharacterized. NCBI's taxonomy places the organism in Eukaryota, Metazoa, Arthropoda, Malacostraca, Decapoda, Portunidae. The transcript has 2 exons. The record is from RefSeq and is a predicted model, not a curated record.
GACAAGUACUGAGACACACAAACACGCUGUUAAUGAAGGGAGAAAAUGUAACAUGAUGACUGUAUCCUGGAAGACGGGAGAUAAGAAGUAAAAUAAAUCAAUUUGAAUUUCAUUGUACAACUCAUACUCUUAUAUUUAGAUUCCCCCUACUGAGAGUACAAUGUCGACCAGGAGCGAGCAUUAAUCUGGCCUGACUAAAUGCCACCGUUCCUCUGCUGCCUCAAUGUUCAUUACUUUGUGUGGAGGAUGAACGAGGCUGGAAAAGGAGUGCCUAGUGACUCAGGUAUUUUGCUCUACCUUAGGCAGCUGACUCUACUUGGAGCACUAAUUACGAUUGGUAUUCCAGCGGCGCAGAGUGGUAGCACAGAGGUGAUUAAUGAGAGGCGGCCAGUGGUGCAACGAGGCGCGGGUGGCGGGGGAGGCGCCUAGCGGUAGGAAAUGAGUGAUGACGAAUGCCUUUGAUUAAAACAGUUAAAAGUCGCGGAUCCACGAGAAGGAAAUGAGUGAGAUACUUUAGAGGCGAGUAGAAGUGAAGGCAGAGGUGAUGGUGACGGGCAGAGGCAGUCUGGCCAGGAGGCGGGAGGGGCAGCGGGCCGGGUCUGGCGGGUAACGGUUAAGUGCGGGGUCAGCGGGCAGAUGGCGGUGGUGUGGCGGGACGGCUGAGGCCCGCAACUCCGCCUCCCGCUUCAGUCGUGCCCGAGACACCAAGUCGUUGGGAUCUGCUCCCGCGUCAGGACGCGCCCACUCUCGCCCACUGAAUGGUUCUCGGCACUUUAAGGGUCCUUGUUGUCUUUGUGGUGUCUGAUAAGACGCGGCUCGCCAAUAACUCCGACUAAUUGCACAGUUCGUCUCCCUGUACGGCGGUGGUCUUCCUGCCUCGGGUCCCUCUUAAUCAUGUAGUGAUGGUCCCUCGCGGAGGAGGAGCCGCAGGGGCUUGUCCCGACGUGGCAUUCGACAGUGUCGAACAAGUGGCCGGUCGAGCUCGGGGCUGCGGUGCCGCGGUGGGGAGUGUGGGGCGUUACAGACACCUGGUGAGCGUGAGUGUGGGUGCGCUCAGUGGUGCUGUGUGGCAUGCAAACUUCACCGUCGGGGAUUAUCUACCAUCACUGCACAAAACACUGCCCGCUGCCCUCAGCACUCCGUUUAAAUUAACUCCCCUCACCAUAUCUCUAGACCAACUUCGCCGAGAGAGAUUUUCGCCACAGCUGGACAUCUUCCUCUGGCACGGCAGGGAGGGCCCCGCGGAACACCCGUGCAGGAAGUGGGAAAAUGUUAUACGACCACCAGGGUGAAGCUUGAAGGAAAAUUAUAAAGAAAUAAUAAUAAUAAUAAAAAGCAAUCACACGAAUAAAAAAAAUGUAGGCUUGGGAACCUUACACACAUAUAUGCCGGGAAAAAAAGAGCGUGCACGCACACACACACACACGCACGCACGCACACACACACAUACACACACACACACACACACACACCAAUCUGUUAAAUAUUACUCGGCGGAUAAGUUACACAAAGUUACACGCACACAUCCGGGAACGUAGAGUGAAUUAUAUUGCGUGUUUGCAAGGUGUCUGUCUAGUUAGAUAAAAUUUACUUGCAGGUAUGGUCAGCAGCGAAGGAUCAGCGCCCCAGGCCGCUGCUCAUGCAACCACGCACGCCUUGGUCCCGGGGCGGAGCCCUGCCCAGUGUGCGAGGCGCCAAACGCCCGCCACGCCACGCUCCAGGAGGGAGACGCGGGCCACGCAGUCUUGUCUCUCACAUCUCUCGAGGACUGUAUAUUCUACCUCCCUUUCUGACCAUCUGCCGAGAACUUUGUCCUGAUAGAUUUUUCCCCCAGUAGUUAUCCAUAGUGUCUUAACUUUUUUUUUUUUUUUUCGUAAUCGCUAAUCUACAUUUAACUUGAGGUACAAUAUACCUUCAACUUGCCCAUCUUUCAUAAAAAAAAAAAGUGACCACUCUCAUCUUUCAAACUACCUGCCGGAGACUUGACUUCCUGCCAUUCCGAAACCUUGGGCUCCAACCUCAUUUGGAAGUGUGCCAAGCAUCCAUCAGCUCACAAUUAUCUAUCUGAUCGACAGCGGAGAUUUCGCAGAUGGUGUUGCACCAAGACCUCGAUCAUUCUCUCUUAAGGGGUUUCAGCGAUUUUUUCUUUUUUUAAUGUACUGCCUUACACAUUUAAAACCUCUUAUAGAUUUUACUAGAAAUCUUCGAUUUUCAAACUAACUUUACAAUUUUCAUCUCUCUCUUAGUAACUUCAUGAUUUUUAUUCCUUUCUGCAGGGUGUAUUAACAGAGAAUCAGUCACUAGAAUUCCACACGCUUCUAGUCUGCUGCCACCGAUCAUCCUUUCACUAAUAAGUAAUCUUACUUAACCUUGGUGUCCUAUAUGUUGCAAAGCGAGUAACUAGCACCUUAUAAUUUGCAAACUCCACCAAACAGACGAUCCUCUCAACAGGAACUGUAUCACUCAAAAAGACGCUGUACAAUGCCUUACCUCUGAUUUUUCAGUAAUCUCUAAAAAGAAUGAGAAGAAUCUGGCAGACUAAAAUGCCUAGAGCUAAAUUCAUUCAUUAACAACUACUUGCAACCAUAAAAACAACUAUCUCCUGUUUUCUAACCUUCAUUUGUUCCUUUCUUCCAUAUCUUCUUGCACUGCUUCCAUAAUAAUAUCAACUGGAAGUUAUACAUCUCAUUUCUUGCUACAUCAGCAGAUGCUGACGCUGUACAAGUACCGCGUGCACCCAUGUAUGGAGCGCACCAUUCAUUGCGCUGACGGGCCGAGGAGAUCCACUCACACACUUUCUAAGAAGGGUGGAGUCGAAGACUACUCGUCUCAUCAACUCCUCUUUAUCAACUGUCAUCAAUUUCUCAAGCACGCCCGCACUGCUGCACUCCUUGCUGUCUCCCACCAAUAUUUUCAUGUAUAUUAUUCUUUCGAACUCGCCAAGGGCACACCUAUCCCGCCCUCCCGUGCCUUCCUGCUGCACAACAUCUAUAUAAUCUCACAUGUAGGAGCAGACUACACCUUGUUCACUUCCGCGUCCCUCUCAGUGAUAAGUUUUGGAAACUGUUUUGUUACUUGGACUCGUGCAGAAAGCAUGAUGACACCUCACGAUUUAACCUUUGUCUUAUUCAUAAAAGGGACACCAUUCUAGGACUGCAGAACUAUUUAAAUAAAAAAUAGAUUAAUAAAUAAUAACGGUCUAAAAAGCACACAGCAGAAUAUACUGUUUCAUUUCCGAUUUAUACUGACAUUCUUCAUAAAAAAGUGGUGGGGAAGGGAACAGAAAAAAUAAAUAAAUGAAGUGGACACAGGAGUGAACAUAUGUACUCUUUAAACUUUAUAUUAUGAAAACUGGCAGAGCUGGGAUAUAAGUACAGGAAGUCAUGGACAGAAACAUGUUUCGGAGGGAGACAGAUGCACAGAGAGAACAUGUUCAAGAAAGCAGACCGAAGACAGUAACAUACGCAACACUACGACAAACUAAGAUAGACAGAUGCAACACUGCGGCUCGCUGGGAGAGAUUGACGAGUCUAAAGGUAGUAACAGAGGCAACACUGGCAGACUGGGGGAGGUGUAAGAGACUAAGUUAAAGGACAGUUGACAAAAAGAAAAAAAAAUCAAAUUUACCUUGCCAAGAAGUACCGUGUGAGUGAAACCCGACUCAAGGCGCACUACAAAACACAAGGAUGAACAUUGACUUUCUAUACAUCUAGCGACUGGGAGGGAGGGAGGAGUGAUGGAGAGGUUACAAUCCACUCAUCCUCGUGCAAAAUUACACAAGGUCUAAAAAGAAUUAAAAAGAAAUAUCAAGUGAAAUCCCCCCACCCCUCAAGAACGUUCAGUGCAGAGGAGCUUAGUGUAAUGCUUAGAUGUGAUAAAUGUGAGGAAAAUUGUCACUGCAAGCAAAAAGAAUCAAAAUUUAGCUGCACCGUAGACUACCAAGCUUUCAUGUUCCGCUCACAAAACACUGAAGGCAAACGUUACGAGUUCAACAGCGUCUUUGCCAUUUAGUCCCUGCCGAGCGUCAUCCAGUGUGUCGAAAGCUGUGAAAGUUGAAAAGGACACAUGUUCAAUAGAGAUAAUUCACAACUAACACGAAGGUCGCGGCUAAAAAGACAGACCCAUGAGAAACACUGACCAUCCCCCACCACAGAAACAGAGAGAGAGAGAGAGAGAGAGAGAGAAAGGACGGAGUGAAAGCCAAACAGAUUUUCGUCAGACCAUCAAAGGCUUCCUAUAACUCUCAGGUAACGGCAAAGGUGUCAUAAAAAUCCCCAGGUGAGAGUGACUAAGAUCCAAUAAAAAAAAAAAAAAUCUCAGCAGCACACAGAUCAAACUAGCCAUCAGUUCUCGAAGGCUUCUCACCGCUGCAUCUUGACGACGGAAACCCUUUAAACACCAUAGAAAAAAAAACAAUAAUAAAUAAAUAAUGAUCUAUCUAUAUACUAAACCGGCCACCCCAAAGCACCACACAUUCAAAGACAAGAGAAAACACUACAUAAUAAUAAUAAGCACAAUAAUAAUAAUAAUAAUAAUAAUAAUAAUAAUAAUAAUAAUAAUAAUAAUAAUAAUAAUAAUACAAUUGACGUAGGAAAACUUAACAUACUGGUAAAUUUACUGAGUGGUGGACAGAUUCAAUACUCCUUGUACUCAUCAUCCACACAAUACUGAACAAAAGGUUUCAAUUCUGGGACAAUUAACAUGCACUUUUUUUUUUUUAACACGAUCUGACCUAUGCCCAGUCAACAACCCCGCAGUGUGAUCAUCAGGACCAGGAACCCCAUUCUUAGAUGUUUCACAGUCUUAUCUCAGGUGGUUUUAAGACCCGUAUUUUGAAAUAUUUCUGCCCCGCACGUGACCUAUAUCAAAAAGGUUCUAGUUGAAGCCACACGGGUUUUUAAGACUGUUUUUUACGGUUUUAGCGAUAGAGUAAUGAGAUUUCUACUACAUCAUUUAAAGGAGAAACAGUCUUCAAAAUCCGGCUGAUCAUCUCUGUGGCCUUUGAAAAUUGUCGUGGUUAGAGCAAAACGUUUCUGAACAUGGGCCUAAACCUCUCGUGGCAGUUAUUGGUUUUUUCAUGACUUCAGCAAGUUUAACAAGGAUCCUACAUCACCAAUGGAAAAAGAAACACUUAUGGAAUCUCGAAUAAUCUUUGUGGCCUUUGAAGAUAUCCCUGAUGAUAGAACAAAGCCUUUAAUUAACGUGACAGACCCAGGAAAAGACGCUACUCCGAACAAAGGACAGGAAAUACUGCGUUACUUUGGAGAGCUGUCAGGUGACCGUCACGCUGGCUACACUGCCUCCACCCACACCGCCACCUUCUGUUCCCAGUGGGCUUGUCAGACGACACCCACUCAUGAUGUGUUUUUCUAAUGCACUCUACUGCUGAUCUACACACUUUUUUUUUUCUUAUCGCGCGACUCACUAACUUACGACUAUUAAAAAGACGUUAUUAGUGUUGAGUGAGUAGAGAGCUUUAAAAGAUAAGAUAGAUUUAUGGACAAGGGGUGAUAGUUGAGUAUAAGUAUGAAUAUUUUAUGCAGAGAUUGUCACGUGUAAGUCUGCUGGCUUUUCCUGCUUUCUUUUGUUUUUUGUUCUUAAAUCCUGACGUAACAUCCAUUUUUUAUCUAUAAUAAUAAUAACAAUAAUAAUAAUAAUAAUAGUAACAGCAAAAAAUGAUAACAAUAAUGAUAAUAAUAAUAAUAAUAAUAAUAAUAAUAAUAAUAAUAAUAAUAAUAAUAAUAACAGCAAAAAAUAAAAGUAGCAACAAUAAUAAACAUGUACAUAUGACAACAUACAUCCCUUGUUUGUUUGUUUGUUUGUCUGUGUUUAUCCCUAAUAUUCUCAAAGAAGGCCAUACCAACGCUCAUCACUAUCACCACCCUUCACCCCAUCACCACACCGUCAGCACCCGUCACGCAUCACCCCUCAUCACCACUCAUCACUAUUCACAAUCACCCAGUACCGCUCUCCGCAAGCUAUCCCUCUCAUCACAGAUCACCCUCCCAGCAUCACAGCGUCACUCCAGCAGUCGCGUCACCACUCCCCACCCUCCCUCCACCCAGCUAUAGUUAACAGUUGCCUAAUUUAUCACGUCAUGGGUUUCAGAUUGUGAGGACGGACAUUCUAGCGUCAAGUUUGGCCUCACUGACAGACUAAGGCGGUAUUUUAGAUGAUCACACCAGGACUGACCAUAAUGCCACGAGUACAUUAGUAAAACAAAAGCCCCGGAGUUUGAAAUGCUUUGGGUUUUCGUAAGAGGUAUUUCCUGUUAUUCUUUUUACCAACUCCGUGUCACAUACAAUAACGAAACUUACUUAUCAUGUAGGACACACUGUGGCCUUGACGUAAUUGUAAAAAAAAAUAUUUUGUGGGAGGAGUCUAAUUAUGGCUGUAUUAGUUCCAAGAAUGUAGGGGCAGGAAGGAGAGAUGGGUAGUCGGGUUUUUAUUAAUGUUUUGCUUAAUGGUGAUGUAAAAUUUUUAUGCAAACUAUGACUAAAAUAACGAAAACACCCAAAUAACUUGUAAUUUAGCCUGUUAAAGUACGUAAUUGAGACAAGACAUCGUUGAGCUCGAGAAAUCAGUCAAAGAUAACACGCCAUUUCUCAUAACAAGCGUGACAUGUAUUUACCUUCCAUCGUCUGCCUCCCGCUGUCCCUGCCGCUAUAGACGACUGUCACACCAUGUGGGACUGUCACGAUGCACUAAGACCCACUGGCAAUGGAGGUCGCAAACGAAUAGGACAGUAAUGACAGCACACGCCUCAUCCCCUGCAGCGACGCCACCACUGCCUACCUCAGCUGUUAGCCGUCAAGGACAGGGGAGGCAGAGGGCGCCUCAAACUGUCUCGGUUCAAGUUCUCGUCAGCUUCUAAUAAUGUGUCUCUUAAAUCUCUAGUUAGACUAUUAUGGUACUAUAUUGUAUUUUCUAGCAUAUAUCUCUUCAGUGUAACCGUUUCUAAAUGAGCGGUGUGAAGGACAACAUGAUUUUAAUAAGACAUGAGGAAUUUUUGUUGUGAAGCUCCGCGGGAGGGUUCGGACCACCGCUUUGUUUACUGUUGGGUCCGAAUUCCUGCACGUCUCACUGACAACCUAGCGAUUCCUUGUAUGGAGCGCUGCCUAGUUAACCCCUCGGGGAGCUAAAGAGGAGAUUCUAAUAGGACAAACUGAUGAUAUGUCCUUUGUUUAAUCUUUAUUACCUGCAUACUGAUUGUACUGUAAAUAAAUGUUCGCUUCAGAUAAAUUAAGAAGCCACACCAUUGGUUACAUCUUAAGUGAAUGUGAUUGUUACUACUCUUCUGGAUUUAAUAGUACGUAAUAGUAUUAAGGUAAUCCGUCAGUGAAUCAGCGGAGUGUAGUGGCUGAAAACAGUGCCUUUACAAGAGGGUAUUUAAGUGAGAUGCCAUGAUCUGUUGCUAGUGAAAUACGUUAAACUGUCUGAUGCAUGAUUAUAAAUCUUUACGUAUGAUGAAAGAGCAUAUGUUAUUUAUCUUUUUUUUUUUUUUAAUGCAAGAACGCCACUGGCCAAGGGCAAAUUGUAUAAAAAAGAAAAAAAAAAAAGACCUACUUAAUGUCAGGUCCCAUAGAGAAUUCCAAAUAAAAAAAAUCAAAUAACG